UACGUAGGGUGCAAGCGUUGUCCGGAAUUAUUGGGCGUAAAGGGCUCGUAGGCGGUCUGUCGCGUCGGUCGUGAAAACCUGCAGCUUAACUGUGGGCUUGCGGUCGAUACGGGCAGACUUGAGUUCGGUAGGGGAGACUGGAAUUCCUGGUGUAGCGGUGAAAUGCGCAGAUAUCAGGAGGAACACCGGUGGCGAAGGCGGGUCUCUGGGCCGAUACUGACGCUGAGGAGCGAAAGCGUGGGGAGCGAACAGG
RNAcentral lists this ribosomal RNA (253 nucleotides) under uncultured bacterium. RNAcentral describes it as "partial 16S ribosomal RNA". It matches the Rfam family "Bacterial small subunit ribosomal RNA", at positions 524 to 776 of the family's 1533-position model. The record is from RNAcentral.